Molecule: ribosomal RNA, 424 nt
Filed under: Verrucomicrobiota bacterium
Lineage: Bacteria; Pseudomonadati; Verrucomicrobiota
Description: Verrucomicrobia bacterium partial 16S ribosomal RNA
Rfam family: Bacterial small subunit ribosomal RNA
Source: RNAcentral
UGAGGAAUAUUGGUCAAUGGACGGAAGUCUGAACCAGCCAAGUAGCGUGCAGGAUGACGGCCCUAUGGGUUGUAAACUGCUUUUGUAUGGGGAUAAAGUUAGGGACGUGUCCCUAUUUGCAGGUACCAUACGAAUAAGGACUGGCUAAUUCCGUGCCAGCAGCCGCGGUAAUACGGAAGGUCCAGGCGUUAUCCGGAUUUAUUGGGUUUAAAGGGAGCGUAGGCUGGAGAUUAAGUGUGUUGUGAAAUGUAGACGCUCAACGUCUGAAUUGCAGCGCAUACUGGUUUCCUUGAGUACGCACAACGUUGGCGGAAUUCGUCGUGUAGCGGUGAAAUGCUUAGAUAUGACGAAGAACUCCGAUUGCGAAGGCAGCUGACGGGAGCGCAACUGACGCUUAAGCUCGAGGGUGCGGGUAUCAAACAGG